Neolamprologus brichardi is the source of this 1728-nucleotide non-coding RNA. Lineage: Eukaryota; Metazoa; Chordata; Actinopteri; Cichliformes; Cichlidae. The record is from RefSeq and is a predicted model, not a curated record.
CAGUGGGAGAAUAGAACAGUAAGAAAAUCAGACAAAUAGAUGAAUAAAUAGAGACACCACUACAGGGGCCACGUGUUGUUAGUAUUCCUCCUCUUUUAGAUUGGCACUCUAAGGUAGUGUAAACGAAAUUUAAUGAGUAAAAAGAGAAGAAUACUACGAAAUAUUAUCGGUAUCAAUAUUAUCACUGGGUGUUACCAGGAAGCCUGCAGUUGUUAACAGAAACCAUAAUAAACACUCUGAUAUGCUUACAGCUACAUUAUUUAGAUUUAACCAAAAGUGCAUGUUAUUCGAUGGCUUGUGGAGAAUUCAGAUGGCUGAGAUGCAACGUCUGCACUGUUGCUGUGUGUCGAGGGGACACUGUCCAGUAUUGUUUCUCACAUGAAUGUUGAACUGUCUCCAGAGACGAGGCUGACGAGUUUGUGGAGAUCGGUGCACUAAAUGGGAUCUUUGUCCUCGGCCGUAGCAUGGGCUUCAUUGGCCAUUACCUGGAUCAGAAGAGGCUGAAACAGGGUCUGUACCGCCACCCAUGGGAUGACAUCUCCUACGUGCUCCCUGAACACAUGUCCAUGUAAUUCCCUUGUGACAGAAUGGAAAUCACUUCCAGAUGAUGAUGUCAGGCGGUAUUACACAUCUCAUGUAACUUAUAUCUCCUCUCUAGUUAUGAUAGCAGCUGCCGAGGGGGGUGGAACUGGGCGGGGUUACUUUGGAAAGUGGGAAGUACUGUUUAUCUGAGGAACCUGGGUAGAAGUUUUCAAUCUAGUUUUUAUGGAGGAAAAAGGGGAAGUAUAUUUCUAGGCUUAGUUUUUGAGAACUAAUUUAAAAGGUCUGAGAUGUAACUUGUUUAGUUUUUAACAAAGAGCCACACCAAUGCAAAUCCUAGCUGCAGGAGCACAAAAUCACUUGGUAAACAGAGUCAAAAUUGAGAGAUGGUUAUGCUUAGUGGGUACAGGAGGAAGAUUCAAGCAAAAUUUCAGUCCUUAAUCCUGUCUGCAUAGUAACCUCUGUUAAUGGCUGCAAAGCAUUUUUUAAAAUACUUAAUCUGCCUGGUUUAAACCACAAGAACAGGGUGCUUAAAUGUGCUUUCUGGCUUUCCGAGUGCUGCAUCUUAGUUUAUACACUAGAUCCCUUUUUAAACUCCUUCACCUUGAUUCACUCCUAACAACAACAAAAAAAAGUCAAUCUCAUCACAAAAUUAAACCAAAGUUAUUUUAGGGAAUUUGUUGUUUUGUUUAUUUAAUUAAAAAAAGAAAAGGAGAAAAAAAAAAGCAAGAUGCAGUGGUAGAUGGUACAAAUGUCAUGAAAAGGAUACAUCAUCAUGGAAAUGAGAGGAAUUAGACACAAGUCAGGAGUCUCUCCACCAUUUGCCUUUCACGAAACCAGCCCGGGUUAUAGUUAAGUUAAUCAGUUUGUUAGUAUUCUAAUAACUGUCGAAAAAAGGAAGCUGUGGACGCAUCAAGAAGAGGCGAACAAAUGCUUCAUGAAUGAGCCCUGUGAGUCUGGAAAGCCUCUUUUGGUGAGGGACCAUGAAAGCAGUUUGCUUUACUUUGGAAACUUACAGCACAUAAUCCGGAUGUUCUCCAACUUCCAGUAAAAACUCACAACACUCUGUAACAGCCCACUGCAAUGUCUGCUGUGCUUAAUCUGUUUUUAUUUAAAUGUGAAAAAAGCUUUUUUGUUUUGUAAUAUGCUGUCAUAAAGUAGUAAAAUAAAGAACUUGUUUUUCUUUUA